This 78-nucleotide transfer RNA is filed under the name Candidatus Heimdallarchaeum endolithica. Its description in RNAcentral is "tRNA-Glu". It matches the Rfam family "tRNA". From Rfam's summary of the family: Transfer RNA (tRNA) molecules are approximately 80 nucleotides in length. Their secondary structure includes four short double-helical elements and three loops (D, anti-codon, and T loops). The record is from RNAcentral. Lineage: Archaea; Promethearchaeati; Candidatus Heimdallarchaeota; Candidatus Heimdallarchaeia (ex Rinke et al. 2021) (nom. nud.); Candidatus Heimdallarchaeales; Candidatus Heimdallarchaeaceae. RNAcentral also lists the same sequence under 2 other names.
GCCCUGAUGGUGUAGCGCGGCCAAUCAUAAUGGACUCUCAAUCCAUUGACCCGGGUUCAAAUCCCGGUCAGGGCACCA